This 496-nucleotide ribosomal RNA is filed under the name uncultured bacterium. RNAcentral's name for it is "bacterial SSU rRNA". It matches the Rfam family "Bacterial small subunit ribosomal RNA", at positions 8 to 496 of the family's 1533-position model. The record is from RNAcentral.
AGAGUUUGAUCAUGGCUCAGAUUGAACGCUGGCGGCAGGCUUAACACAUGCAAGUCGAGCGGUAACAGAAAUAGCUUGCUAUUUGCUGACGAGCGGCGGACGGGUGAGUAAUGCUUGGGAAUAUGCCUUAUGGUGGGGGACAACAGUUGGAAACGACUGCUAAUACCGCAUAAUGUCUACGGACCAAAGGGGGGGAUCUUCGGACCUCUCGCCAUUUGAUUAGCCCAAGUGAGAUUAGCUAGUUGGUAAGGUAAUGGCUUACCAAGGCGACGAUCUCUAGCUGGUUUGAGAGGAUGAUCAGCCACACUGGGACUGAGACACGGCCCAGACUCCUACGGGAGGCAGCAGUGGGGAAUAUUGCACAAUGGGGGGAACCCUGAUGCAGCCAUGCCGCGUGUGUGAAGAAGGCCUUCGGGUUGUAAAGCACUUUCAGUUGUGAGGAAAGGUGUGUAGUUAAUAGCUGCAUACUGUGACGUAACAACAGAAGAAGCACCGG